Molecule: non-coding RNA, 1094 nt
Organism: Thamnophis sirtalis
Lineage: Eukaryota; Metazoa; Chordata; Lepidosauria; Squamata; Natricidae
Source: RefSeq, a predicted model, not a curated record
AAUGUAGGAGGUUAAAAUAGCCAAAUUAUAAAAGUAAGGUUUUUUUUUCUUAAACUGAUACUGCAUUUAUCAUUCAGGAGUUGCAGAAAACAUAUAUUGUAUAACAAUAUAUUUUGCAAUUUGUUUCUCAGCAGCCACCUUGUAUAUUGCAAAAGGGGGGACAUUUCCAAGCAAACAUCCAUAUAUAUUUUUCAUUUCAAAAUUUUCUUGAUUAAAUUUUUCCAAAUUCCAAAUAAUAAGUACGUUGAUAAAUAAUGAAGGUACAAGUAGCAUAGAAAGAUAUUGUCACUGCUCUCUCUGUUAUUAUUUUCAUAAUAUAUUUUUCUUUUUAAAAUUUAAAAAACUAGAACAAUGUAGAAUGUUUACAUUCUUGAUAAAAAAUAAGCUAAGUGUAUUCAUUAAAUAUAUCAAUUUGAUUUAUGUGAUCUUCCAUUAAUGCAAUAUUGAAAUAUUUGAGUGUGUUCUGAAACACUCAACCUAGAUAAGUGUGCUAGGAAAGCAGCUAGCGGAGACCCAACACAGAUUUCAUGUAAUAAAUUGAAAAUAUUAAUUCAAAAUGAAAAUGAAUCUCUUAACAUCUUACAGAUUUGGAUAUAUUUCAGCAGCACUCCUCAGGGAAAGUUUGCAGCAUGAGCAACCUGAGACUGCUGAAACUAUAGAAAGCAGUGACUUAACAGGUCCAGCUGCCAUCAACACUUCAGGCACAAAGAAUUUUGGAACCUGAGGAUAAUCCAGAAGACAAGAAAUUAGAGCUCUCUGCUUUCAUCAAUUCGAAUGACUUGGUCUCAGAUUUAGCCAAGGAUCUACAGUAUUAAGGACAUUGCUGGAAUAGAAAAGUUAUAGUUGCCAUAUCAGUAUUAAUUUGUAUCUUUGGAAAGAAAAAAGUCUAUCUAACAAAGUAAGGAUAUUCAAAAAACCUUUGGGAAGGACUUGCUAAUGCAACAAUGUUACAAAUAAGUCUCAAAGAAAAUGCUGCCUAAUUCUAGUUAUGUGGCAGAAUAAGAAAUCUGAAUUAGCAUUUAGAAAGUAUGAUUGAAUGAUUUCAAAGGUUGUAAUAUCCUGAUAAAUUUAUAGCAGCCUUUCUUACAUUAUUA